UGGCUCAAUGGUAGAGCGUUCGACUCAAAUACCAGAGGUCGUGGGUUCGAAUCCCAG
Molecule: transfer RNA, 57 nt
Filed under: Schistocephalus solidus
Lineage: Eukaryota; Metazoa; Platyhelminthes; Cestoda; Diphyllobothriidea; Diphyllobothriidae
Rfam family: tRNA
About the family: Transfer RNA (tRNA) molecules are approximately 80 nucleotides in length. Their secondary structure includes four short double-helical elements and three loops (D, anti-codon, and T loops).
Source: Rfam by way of RNAcentral